RNAcentral lists this transfer RNA (70 nucleotides) under Neocyema erythrosoma. RNAcentral's name for it is "tRNA-Thr". It matches the Rfam family "tRNA". Rfam says of the family: Transfer RNA (tRNA) molecules are approximately 80 nucleotides in length. Their secondary structure includes four short double-helical elements and three loops (D, anti-codon, and T loops). The record is from RNAcentral. Lineage: Eukaryota; Metazoa; Chordata; Actinopteri; Anguilliformes; Cyematidae.
GCCCUAGUAGCUUAAUACAAAGCAUCAGCCUUGUAACCUGAAGAUUAGAGACUCAAACCUUUCUAGCGCU